UUGUUUUGUUUAGAUAUUGAGAGACUUAGACGAAUUCUACGAGCAAAAUGAAAAGUAUUGGUCUGACGCCUUAGACCAUCAUAAGGCGAGCAGGCAGUGAGAGGUAGGAGGAGUCUGAGGAAAACUUCAUCCAAGGAUACGAUAGAUAGUUAACUUUUCAAGCUUUGGUUCCAGAUGUGUUUAUGUGAUACGCUUCUCAAAGGCUCUUCUCAGUUUGGAUGAGAGCAGUGAUCAUGGAAGAUCAAAUGAGCAACAACAACCCAAUGGUGCUGCGCAAAUCAAGCUCCCCUGAGUAAAGUAGCUUGAUUUCAAAUGGUAACCCCACACCUUUUUUUUGGUUUCAAAACCCCGCACCUUCAGGACACAAGAGAGACAUAAAUGUGUGUUCUCAAGUUAUGAAGCAAUUCAAAAUCCUACUGAUUGAACGAGAUAGCGAAUUUGAAAUGGCUUUUGCUUUUACCUCAUCUCCAGUGUGAUCACUGAUGAAUAAAGCCACCCGUGCCAUCCCGCUCUGGUAAUUGUGAUGCGUUGUAACAUCCUACUACUCUACCCAUCCCAUCCGUGAUAACAAUCUUUCCAGUGUACACAUAUUCAUUGACUAUGCUAAAUGCUACAACUCAGAACAAACAAACAUUUGAAGUGGAUAUUACAACGCAGUAUGAAUCAUAUAGUGGCAUCUGGCAUCCGUGGUUUUAUAGCCAUAGAAUACUAACAUAUUUAACUAUGUCUGUAAUGAUUCAUCUGUGCUCAGGGAAGUCAUUGCUGAGCUUAUGGCUGCUGGUGCAUCCUGGAUUCAGUUUGAUGAGCCUCUUUUUGUCAUGGAUCUCGAGGGUCACAAACUCGAGGCUUUUAGCCGUGCAUAUGCUGAGCUCUCGAAUCAACUCUCUCUGGUUUGAAUGUUCUUGUGGAGACACCUACUUCGCUGACAUCCCUGCUGAAGCAUACAAGACCCUUACUUCCUUCCUUGAAGGGUGUGACUGCCUUUGGAUUUGAUUUGGUUUGUGGCACCAAGACCAUUGACUUGAUCAAGGCUGGUUUCCCCCAGGGCAAGUAUCUCUUUGCUGGUGCUGUUGACGGAAGGAACAUCUGAGCCAAUGACCUCGCUGCAGUCACUUGAGGGUGUUGUUGGUAAAGACAAGCUUGUGGUCUCAAGUCUCAACCUCUUGCUCUCUUUCUCCACACUGCCGUUGACCUUAUUAACGAGACUAAGCUCGAUGACGAAAUCAAGUCGUGGCUAGCUUUUGCUGCCCAGUUGACGCAUUGUCCAAGGCUUUGGCCGGUCAGACAAAUGAGAGUUUCUUCACUGCCAACGCUGAGGCUUUGUCUUCGAGGAGGUCUUCCCCAAGAGUCACCAAUGAGUCUGUCCAGAAGGCUGCUGCUGCUUUGAAGGGAUCUGACCAUCGCCGUACAACAGAAGUUAGUGCAAGGCUAGAUGCUCAGCAGAAGAAGGAGCUCAACCUUCCAAUCCUUCCAACCACAACCAUCGGAUCCUUCCCACAAACUGUGGAACUCAGGAGUAUUUGCCGUGAAUACAAGGCGAAGAAAAUCUCUGAGGAGGAUUACGUCAAGGCCAUCAAGGAAGAAAUCAAGAAAGUUGUUGACAUCCAAGAGGACCUUGACAUUGAUGUUCUUGUUCACGGAGAGCCUGAGGUGAGAGUUUCUUGCCUGUUACUAAACACUGAAACUAACUACUGUUCUGUUUCUUGACUCGAGUCAUGCUUUAACAAC
Non-coding RNA from Camelina sativa (false flax), 1728 nucleotides. Lineage: Eukaryota; Viridiplantae; Streptophyta; Magnoliopsida; Brassicales; Brassicaceae. The record is from RefSeq and is a predicted model, not a curated record.